Molecule: long non-coding RNA, 374 nt
Filed under: Homo sapiens (human)
Lineage: Eukaryota; Metazoa; Chordata; Mammalia; Primates; Hominidae
Description: HSALNT0026163
Source: RNAcentral
UGUCCUAGUGAGCUCACGCCUAGAUGAGGGACGCUCUGGUGAACACACAAUUUAACCUUCAGUAGAAUCCAAGCAGGUAAAUAUCAGGUUUUAGAAGAAGAGAAAGACCACGUUUGGCAAAGAGGCACAUGAUGGCUUUGAAGAUCUGGGAAACGUGGAGCUAGAAAUCUGGAAGACUUCAGACCCUUUGGAGGAAAGAGAGGCUAUAAAGCCAAGGUCCCUUUAAGACAUGGCAGUGAAACGAUGAAACAGGCAAAAGCUGGUUGGAGAGGAGUCAUCAGAGAAGGAGCUUUAAGUGAAUUUCUUGACGAUGGUGCGCGGAUGGAUGGAGGAAGCCUCCUUGCUGAUAUAGAGUUGUGAUCCGGGGUGGAUGG